Molecule: ribosomal RNA, 209 nt
Filed under: uncultured delta proteobacterium
Lineage: Bacteria; Deltaproteobacteria
Description: partial 16S ribosomal RNA
Rfam family: Bacterial small subunit ribosomal RNA
Source: RNAcentral
CGCGUAGGCGGUUUGAUAAGUCAGAUGUGAAAGCCCACGGCUUAACCGUGGAAGUGCAUUUGAUACUGUCAGACUUGAGUACCCAGAGGGGAAAGUGGAAUUCCCGGUGUAGAGGUGAAAUUCGUAGAUAUCGGGAGGAAUACCGGUGGCGAAGGCGACUUUCUGGCUGAGUACUGACGCUGAGGCGCGAAAGCGGUGGGGAGGCAACA